GGUAGCCGGCCUGAGAGGGUGUCCGGCCACACUGGGACUGAGAUACGGCCCAGACUCCUACGGGAGGCAGCAGUGGGGAAUAUUGCACAAUGGGCGCAAGCCUGAUGCAGCGACGCCGCGUGGGGGAUGACGGCCUUCGGGUUGUAAACCUCUUUCAAUAGGGACGAAGCGCAAGUGACGGUACCUAUAGAAGAAGCACCGGCCAACUACGUGCCAGCAGCCGCGGUAAUACGUAGGGUGCGAGCGUUGUCCGGAAUUACUGGGCGUAAAGAGCUCGUAGGUGGUUUGUCGCGUUGUCCGUGAAAUUUCACAACUCAAUUGUGAGCGUGCGGGCGAUACGGGCAGACUGGAGUACUGCAGGGGA
RNAcentral lists this ribosomal RNA (364 nucleotides) under uncultured bacterium. RNAcentral's name for it is "bacterial SSU rRNA". It matches the Rfam family "Bacterial small subunit ribosomal RNA", at positions 282 to 658 of the family's 1533-position model. The record is from RNAcentral.